RNAcentral lists this ribosomal RNA (506 nucleotides) under uncultured bacterium. Its description in RNAcentral is "partial 16S ribosomal RNA". It matches the Rfam family "Bacterial small subunit ribosomal RNA", at positions 30 to 523 of the family's 1533-position model. The record is from RNAcentral.
AUUGAACGCUGGCGGCAUGCCUUACACAUGCAAGUCGAACGGCAGCACAGAGGAGCUUGCUCCUUGGGUGGCGAGUGGCGGACGGGUGAGGAAUACAUCGGAAUCCACUCUGUCGUGGGGGAUAACGUAGGGAAACUUACGCUAAUACCGCAUACGACCUACGGGUGAAAGCAGGGGACCUUCGGGCCUUGCGCGAUUGAAUGAGCCGAUGUCGGAUUAGCUAGUUGGCGGGGUAAAGGCCCACCAAGGCGACGAUCCGUAGCUGGUCUGAGAGGAUGAUCAGCCACACUGGAACGGAGACACGGUCCAGACUCCUACGGGAGGCAGCAGUGGGGAAUAUUGGACAAUGGGCGCAAGCCUGAUCCAGCCAUACCGCGUGGGUGAAGAAGGCCUUCGGGUUGUAAAGCCCUUUUGUUGGGAAAGAAAUCCAGCUGGCUAAUACCCGGUUGGGAUGACGGUACCCAAAGAAUAAGCACCGGCUAACUUCGUGCCAGCCGCCGCGGUAA